This 1503-nucleotide small RNA is filed under the name Rattus norvegicus (Norway rat). RNAcentral describes it as "uncharacterized LOC100912991". Lineage: Eukaryota; Metazoa; Chordata; Mammalia; Rodentia; Muridae. The record is from RNAcentral.
UGGAGCCAGGACUAUAAUAAAUGCUUGACUUAAUUUCAGAUAAACAUGAGUGAUAGAAAAUAAAACAGCCUAAGAAAUCCGGUGGAAGUACCUUUAUUUGAACUAAGUGGUCAGAUCCUACUUCCUCUAGAAAUGAUGAUUGAGGACAUUAGGAAUGUUGUGAUGUGACAUUACUGACUUUGAAUAGACUUCAAGUAUAGAUGCUUACAGCAUCAUUCCUGGUAGUUACUUCUAGACUUUGAAAACUAGCAUUAGAAUAGAAAGUUGUACUAGUGAGGUUCAAGGGAUGCAGAAGUGCCAGCCCUAGAGCUUGGAUCACAAUGCAUGAGUGUUAGGGCUUUAAGAGUCCUGAGGGUGGGGGAGCCUGAUUCCCUUCCUUUUCCUGUUCUGCUUUCCCAUCUUGUCUUCGUCCUCUAUGGGUCCUGGGAUCUUGUCCUUUCAGAUUGGACAUCUGUGGACUUCACUUUGAUGUGAGGAGAGAGUGUGGUGCCGACAGACCUCCAGUGCUAUCAGUGGAAUACUAGUGGAGUUUUAAUUCUGGUUAAGAGUUUGCAAUGGGGCCUUGCUGCAGUGUAACUGUGAAGGUGUUUUAAAGAAUCUUAAGAUUCAGCAUAGUGAAAUUGUGAAAACAGCAUGAUAAAUUGAGUAAAAUAAACUCAGGCAUAUUGUUGGUGGGCAAAAUUAGAAUCCUUCCCAAGUAUGAUUCAUGCUUCUUGGUUCCUUCCUGUUCUGUGUCCCCCUUCCUUUUUCUCCUCUCUACCUCUCUCCUCCCAGUCUCAGUUCCCCCUCCCUCUGCCCCCUCUCUCCUUCCCUUUUAAAGUGUUUCCUGUAGUUUAGGCUGACUUCAACCUUGAAUUUUCCAUCCUUCUCCUGUUUGCUGAGAUUAUAGGUAUAUGCUAGCAUCACCUUUGGCUCGUUUCCCUCUCUAGGUUUGGAAUGCACAAUGAUGAGACACAAAAACAUAAACAUCUCCAGAAAGAAGCUAUGACUGGAACACAGAGGACUACUAGAUUAAGUGGAAACAAUGCCCAGGCAUCCCAGUGCCCCCACUGAUGGUCCAGCUAUCAUCAAGAUGGUGACGAGUUACAUAUGACCUGGAGGAGGACUGUGCAGAGUACCUUCUAGCACCAUAAACACUAAUCAGUGAGCAAUGCUGAACUUCUAAUUAGGCAAGAGCUCAACCUCUUCAUGCUUGAGGACAUAAAGUUCAGGAUCAAGCUCAGAAGCUCACAGCUGCCAGCAGCACACUACUACUGCACUGUCUCCUUAGUCCAUGCUCACUCUUAAAUAGCCACAAAACACUCAGUGGUAUGGCAAAGGAAACCUCCAUUUCAUUUAGAUGUUUAUGAUAAUUUUUCCCACUUUAAUUAUUUUAUGUAGUUGAAUAUGAUUUUUUUUCCUAAGGAAUUUUUUUAUCUCAAUGUAAGACUCUUGAACCUUUAUGUUAUAUAUAAUUUCCUGUAGUUUUCAAAAUUGCUUUAAUAAAAAAGUUUAACUUUAAAA